ACGGGAGGCAGCAGUGGGGAAUAUUGCACAAUGGGCGCAAGCCUGAUGCAGCCAUGCCGCGUGUAUGAAGAAGGCCUUCGGGUUGUAAAGUACUUUCAGCGAGGAGGAAGGUGUUGUGGUUAAUAACCGCAGCAAUUGACGUUACUCGCAGAAGAAGCACCGGCUAACUCCGUGCCAGCAGCCGCGGUAAUACGGAGGGUGCAAGCGUUAAUCGGAAUUACUGGGCGUAAAGCGCACGCAGGCGG
Molecule: ribosomal RNA, 245 nt
Filed under: Citrobacter freundii
Lineage: Bacteria; Pseudomonadati; Pseudomonadota; Gammaproteobacteria; Enterobacterales; Enterobacteriaceae
Also listed under: 1 other name
Description: partial 16S ribosomal RNA
Rfam family: Bacterial small subunit ribosomal RNA
Source: RNAcentral